This 505-nucleotide ribosomal RNA is filed under the name uncultured bacterium. Its description in RNAcentral is "partial 16S ribosomal RNA". It matches the Rfam family "Bacterial small subunit ribosomal RNA", at positions 28 to 507 of the family's 1533-position model. The record is from RNAcentral.
GACGAACGCUGGCGGCGUGCCUAAUACAUGCAAGUAGAACGCACAGUUUAUACCGUAGCUUGCUACACCAUAGACUGUGAGUUGCGAACGGGUGAGUAACGCGUAGGUAACCUGCCUGGUAGCGGGGGAUAACUAUUGGAAACGAUAGCUAAUACCGCAUAAUAUUAAUUAUUGCAUGAUAAUUAAUUGAAAGGUGCAAUUGCACCACUACCAGAUGGACCUGCGUUGUAUUAGCUAGUAGGUGAGGUAACGGCUCACCUAGGCGACGAUACAUAGCCGACCUGAGAGGGUGAUCGGCCACACUGGGACGGAGACACGGCCCAGACUCCUACGGGAGGCAGCAGUAGGGAAUCUUCGGCAAUGGACGAAAGUCUGACCGAGCAACGCCGCGUGAGUGAAGAAGGUUUUCGGAUCGUAAAGCUCUGUUGUAAGAGAAGAACGGGUGUGAGAGUGGAAAGUUCACACUGUGACGGUAUCUUACAAGAAAGGGACGGCUAACUACGUG